This 460-nucleotide ribosomal RNA is filed under the name uncultured bacterium. Its description in RNAcentral is "partial 16S ribosomal RNA". It matches the Rfam family "Bacterial small subunit ribosomal RNA", at positions 338 to 795 of the family's 1533-position model. The record is from RNAcentral.
CCUACGGGGGGCAGCAGUGAGGAAUAUUGGUCAAUGGACGAGAGUCUGAACCAGCCAAGUAGCGUGAAGGAUGACUGCCCUAUGGGUUGUAAACUUCUUUUAUAUGGGAAUAAAAUGUUCCACGUGUGGGAUUUUGUAUGUACCAUAUGAAUAAGGAUCGGCUAACUCCGUGCCAGCAGCCGCGGUAAUACGGAGGAUCCGAGCGUUAUCCGGAUUUAUUGGGUUUAAAGGGAGCGUAGGUGGAUUGUUAAGUCAGUUGUGAAAGUUUGCGGCUCAACCGUAAAAUUGCAGUUGAAACUGGCAGUCUUGAGUACAGUAGAGGUGGGCGGAAUUCGUGGUGUAGCGGUGAAAUGCUUAGAUAUCACGAAGAACUCCGAUUGCUAAGGCAGUUCACUGGACUGCAACUGACACUGAGGCUCGAAAGUGUGGGUAUCAAACAGGAUUAGAUACCCCUGUAGUC